This 28-nucleotide small RNA is filed under the name Bombyx mori (domestic silkworm). RNAcentral's name for it is "ovarian small RNA-15124". The record is from RNAcentral. Lineage: Eukaryota; Metazoa; Arthropoda; Insecta; Lepidoptera; Bombycidae.
GAACAUCGUAGCCACGACGAUCGGAAGC